GACGAACGCUGGCGGCGUGCUUAACACAUGCAAGUCGAGCGGUAAGGCCCUUCGGGGUACACGAGCGGCGAAAGGGUGAGUAACACGUGAGUAAUCUGCCCAUCACUUCGGGAUAACUCCGGGAAACCGGUGCUAAUACCGAAUAUGACCACUUCAGGCAUCUGAUGGUGGUGGAAAGUUCCGGCGGUGAUGGAUGAGCUCGCGGCCUAUCAGCUUGUUGGUGGGGUAGUGGCCUACCAAGGCUUCGACGGGUAGCCGGCCUGAGAGGGUGACCGGCCACACUGGGACUGAGACACGGCCCAGACUCCUACGGGAGGCAGCAGUGGGGAAUAUUGGACAAUGGGCGAAAGCCUGAUCCAGCAACGCCGCGUGAGGGAUGACGGCCUUCGGGUUGUAAACCUCUUUCAGCAGGGACGAAGCGCAAGUGACGGUACCUGCAGAAGAAGCACCGGCCAACUACGUG
Molecule: ribosomal RNA, 463 nt
Filed under: uncultured bacterium
Lineage: Bacteria
Description: partial 16S ribosomal RNA
Rfam family: Bacterial small subunit ribosomal RNA
Source: RNAcentral